AGAGAGAGACAUGCGCGCAUAUCAAUAAGCGGAGGAAAAGAAACUAACUAGGAUUCCCUCAGUAACGGCGAGUGAAGCGGGAAGAGCUCAAAUUUGAAAUCUUCAAGGUUCUACCUUGACGAAUUGUAGUUUAAAGAAGUGUUUUCUGUUGGAGUUUUGGUAAAAGUUCUUUGGAAUAGGACAUCAUAGAGGGUGAGAAUCCCGUAUUUGACCAUUAUUUCCAGCUUUGUGAUACACUUUCAAAGAGUCGGAUUGUUUGGGAAUGCAGUCCAAAAUGGGUGGUAAAUUUCAUCUAAAGCUAAAUAUUGGCGAGAGACCGAUAGCGAACAAGUACCGUGAGGGAAAGAUGAAAAGAACUUUGAAAAGAGAGUUAAACAGUACGUGAAAUUGUCAAAAGGGAAGCGUUUGACACCAGUGUUGUUUUCUCGAAAAUCAAUUAAAAAAGGCAGGAUUUUGUGUUGUAUUGACUUUAUCAGCUUUCUGCACUCUUUUCUUGUCUUUUUUUAAUGCACUUUUCGUUUAACAAGUCAACAUCAAUUUCUUUUGUUGUAAAAGGGUCAUUGGAAGGUGGCUUUCUUUUCGGAGAAAGUGUUUAUAGCCUUUGGCCUCUGCAAUCGGAGAGAUUGAGGUCUGCAGCGUAGAUCCUUCGGGGCUUAAAUAGCAUUUGUGCUAAGUUAUAGCCUUUCAUAGACAACUUGUUGACUAUGAUCAGUCAUGUAGCUUACUCGCUUAUGCUAUUUUACCUACGCUUAGGAUGUUGAUGUGAUACUGCGAGCA
RNAcentral lists this ribosomal RNA (777 nucleotides) under uncultured Neocallimastigales. RNAcentral describes it as "partial large subunit ribosomal RNA". It matches the Rfam family "Eukaryotic large subunit ribosomal RNA", at positions 23 to 646 of the family's 3401-position model. Lineage: Eukaryota; Fungi; Neocallimastigomycota; Neocallimastigomycetes; Neocallimastigales. The record is from RNAcentral.